CCUACGGGGGGCAGCAGUGAGGAAUAUUGGUCAAUGGCCGUAAGGCUGAACCAGCCAAGUCGCGUGAAGGAAGAAGGAUCUAUGGUUUGUAAACGUCUUUUAUAGGGGAAUAAAGGGAUCCACGUGUGGAUAGUUGCAUGUACCCUAUGAAUAAGCAUCGGCUAACGCCGUGCCAGCAGCCGCGGUAAUACGGAGGAUGCGAGCGUUAUCCGGAUUUAUUGGGUUUAAAGGGUGCGUAGGGUGUUUUUUAAGUCAGCGGUGAAAGUUUGGGGCUCAACCAUAAAAUUGCCGUUGAAACUGGCAGCCUUGCGUGUGUUUGCGUUCGGCGGAAUGCGUGUUGUAGCGGUGACAUGCCUAGAUAUCACGCAGAACUCCGAUUGCGCAGGCAGCUUACUACGCCAUAACUGACACUGCAGCACGACAGCGUG
RNAcentral lists this ribosomal RNA (428 nucleotides) under uncultured bacterium. Its description in RNAcentral is "partial 16S ribosomal RNA". It matches the Rfam family "Bacterial small subunit ribosomal RNA", at positions 338 to 763 of the family's 1533-position model. The record is from RNAcentral.